RNAcentral lists this long non-coding RNA (840 nucleotides) under Pogonomyrmex barbatus (red harvester ant). Its description in RNAcentral is "uncharacterized LOC112553070, transcript variant X1". The record is from RNAcentral. Lineage: Eukaryota; Metazoa; Arthropoda; Insecta; Hymenoptera; Formicidae.
GCUCUCUUUCUCGCUCGCGUGUGUACUGCCUCUCUUUCUUGCGUGUGAUCCGUCACUUUCUCUCGCUCGCAGGUUGGUCAUGUGAUUCUCUCUCGCUUGCGAGCGGUUUAUCCGCGAUCAGCGUGUCUCCUUCGCGUCCAUGCCUGUUCCGUUCCGUCCCGUCUUAUUCUGUGCUUUAUCCGCGUUUUGCGCCAUUAUCAAAGUUCCGCGUCUCGUUCUCUGCGUUUUCUUUCGUGUACGCUCUGUUUUAUCCGCGUCCGCGUUGCGUUUUCAUUCGCGUUGCGUCUUGUCAUUCGUCUGCGUCGCGUCUUUUUAGUUUUUACUCUGCGUUCUGCGUGCGGUAGCUGCCCGCGAUCUCCUGCGUAUAUCUUAUACAAGACACCCUUCAUACAAAGCAAUCGGCGGCUCGGCCAUCGAGUCUCCAGUCCUAGUGAUGGAAUAAGCAAAAGAACGAUUGGCUAUCGCUGUCAACUUCCGCUGCGCAGCAAGCAUUGCCGCGUUCUGCAUAUGAUAUGAGAGUGACAGCGCUGUUUGAUUUUUAUUUGUUUCUAAAAUGGAAAUCGAAGAAAACGAAUUUGAUUUUUCGGCGGACGAAGCAGCGUUUUCCGCUGCAGUGCUCGCCGCCGCAGCAGUGAUGCCAGAAUGCCAGUGAUGCCAGAAUACCCACGCUAGCAACACGCAACCAUAGUGAAAAGGAUGACGCACACAAGCGCAAACCGCGUACGUGUGAGCUUGGCGCUUCGGCUGGCUUCAGAUAGCAGAAGAGGACAGAUAUACUGUUUUCUGUCUCUUUCCUUCUUAUCGAGCCGGGAUGAAGACCGGGCGGUACGCGAUCGAUUU